Molecule: long non-coding RNA, 422 nt
Organism: Bos indicus x Bos taurus (hybrid cattle)
Lineage: Eukaryota; Metazoa; Chordata; Mammalia; Artiodactyla; Bovidae
Source: Ensembl
CCUCUCGAAAGCGAGUGCGGGGCUGCUCUCCUCUCAGCUGGAAGCAGCUUUUACACUGACACUGCACACAAAAGCUGAUUGUCUCUUCUCCAAGGGGGCCCCUCCCUGCAGGAAGAAUGUACACUCCCAUCCUGUAGUUCAGCUUGGCCCUGUAACUCUGGCCAAUGGAGUGCCAGCAGAAGUGAAAAAAGCUGCAUCUGAGAAGUUUAAAGAGUCACACAUUUAUUCCACGACUGCUUCUCUCCUUGUAAGUGUACCUGCCUCCCUGAGUCAAGAAGAUUCCCUGGAGUUGGAAAUGGCAACUGGCUCCAGCUUCAGUAUUCUAGCCUGGAAAUCCCAUGGAAAGAGGAGCUUGGCAGGUGGGUACAAUUCCAUGGGGUCCCAAAGGGUCAAAUACAACAGCAUGAGUAAAAGCACAAGAA